UAAAGUAUAAUAAUAAUAAAAAAAAGAAUAAAGCUGAAAAAACACACCUUUCAGACAAACAAAACAUUACUAGAUAAAGAUUUAAAAACCUAAUAGCAUUUACAACAUAAAACGUCCAAUAAUAAAUCUAACGAGAUACACACCAUCUCUACCCCCCCAAAAAACCCACAAAAAUCUGUUUAGAAAAAUAAAAGAAGACAUAAAUAAAUGGGAGGAUAAGCCAUGUUCAAGAACUAGAAGACUCAACAUAGUAAUAAUGUCAUUUCUCUGCCAAUGGAUCAAUUGUUUCUAUGAAAUCCCAAUAGAAAUCCUAGCAGGUUCCUUUGUAGAUGCUAAUAAUCUGAUUAUAUGGAAAUGCAAGGACCACAAAUAGCCAUUGUUGUUGAAAAGAACAAAGUUGCAAGACAGACUACUCAUUUAAGACUUAUGUAGCUACAGUGAUUAGGACAGGGUGAUAUCUAUACAAGAAUAGAGUACAACACCUGUGGAACAGACAUGAGAUUCCCAAACAGACCUGCAUGUUUAUGAAAUGUUUGAUUAAUGACAAACCUGGGUAAUAAUUCAUGUUAGGUUCCAUGCCAAUUGGAUAUCUAUUUGGGAAAAAUUUAUUUUGAACCUUAACUCAUAACCUGUAUAUAUAACAAAUCAACAAAAUUUGCAGGAAAUAAAAAAGGAGAGUAUAUCAACUGGAGCGGGACUUACCGUAGACGCAAAGAAGCAUAAUUGGGACACAGCCUGAGGAGAACAUUGUUUGUUCCGGUGCUGAGCCCAGAGGCGAUUAGGGUCCCCGUUUUGGGCUGAAUUGUGUUUCCUUAGAUUCACACACAGAAGCCCUAUCCCCCAGUACCUCAGAAUGUGACAGUCUCUGGAGGUGGGGCCUCUUGAGAGAUAACUGGGUCAAAAUGAAGAUGUGGGAGGGGGCUCUACUCCAAUGUGACUGUUGCCCUUAUUAGAAGAGGACAUUUGGACACACACAGAGACACCAGAUGGAGGCACAGAGAAAAGAACAUGUGGGAACACAGGGAGAAGGUGACCAGCUGCAAGCCAAGGAGAGAGGCCUUGGGAGAAACCAACCCUGCUGACACCUCGAUCUUGGACUUGUAGCCUCUAGAACUCUGAGGAGGUUCAGCAGCCUGAACGGGGGCUUGGCUCUGGCUCUCCAGUCCUCAUCCAUGAUGCCCCAGAACUCAACCUUCCAUCUGAGAGCUGAACUCGCUCCUCCAAUGUUCUCUGAAUAAUGGAAGUGUCAGAGCAGAGGGAUUCAAGGAUCCUGGCCAAGGAUCAGCUGCCCUAUCUGCCUUCACAUGUUCCUGAGGACCCAGAGACUCCAGGCUGCCCCCUGACCACUGGAGAUGGCUGCAAAGGGGGCGUCCUCUGGAAGAUGGUCAGCAGCCUCUAGAGGAAGCAGACAUCCUGGACGCUGACCUCCAGGGCCUAAUGCUCUGCCCCCUCUCCUGACCUGCACCUCGAGGGGGAUGUGUAGAGGGUCUGCUCUGGGAGUCUUGGCUGUGGCCCCCACCUACCCAAGAAAGCCAAUGCCCACGA
RNAcentral lists this long non-coding RNA (1545 nucleotides) under Homo sapiens (human). Its description in RNAcentral is "HSALNT0304938". Lineage: Eukaryota; Metazoa; Chordata; Mammalia; Primates; Hominidae. The record is from RNAcentral.